UGGAGGGGAUCAGGUGGCAUUUGGGUGGUCUUGGUGGCCAUUGUUAUUCCCCAUCUCCCAUAUACUCACAGUAUGAAUAUUUGGAGCAGGCCAGAACAAGUUGAGCUCUACUUCCCCUUACUGUCCCAACAUCAGGUGUACGGUGAUAACAUCAUGUCACGGAAACAGGCUGGGCUUUGGUGUAUGUGUAUGAGGAAGAUGAGUAUUAUGGGACGUUUUUACUACAGCGGAGUAUUGUUAUCAAACUGGCUAAACAGUUCAGUGCUAGAACAUAUUAAUAUUUUGCCUUAAUAUAACAGAUUUUUCUGUAUCCUAUUAAAAAGCUAAAUUUGACAAAA
Molecule: long non-coding RNA, 338 nt
Organism: Pseudophryne corroboree (corroboree frog)
Lineage: Eukaryota; Metazoa; Chordata; Amphibia; Anura; Myobatrachidae
Exons: 2
Source: RefSeq, a predicted model, not a curated record